UAGAUCCUAUUAUCUUUGCUUUAGUCAUCAGAAUUUUUGGAGCAACUCGAACAAGGUAAAGAAUAUAAUGUUUUAGUUGGGAAGUACUCUCUCAAGUCUCAACACUUAACGGUGCCUGCAAAACUCUCAAGUCUCUUCUCAAGACCAGAAACCAAGAUGACUAAAGCAAAGAUAAUAGGAUCUAAUUCAUCCUCCUAAUAAGCUCAUUGAUGUAAUCCUCACGGUUUCCAGCAUCACCACCCUCCACAUAAUG
RNAcentral lists this unclassified non-coding RNA (253 nucleotides) under Hevea brasiliensis (rubber tree). Lineage: Eukaryota; Viridiplantae; Streptophyta; Magnoliopsida; Malpighiales; Euphorbiaceae. The record is from RNAcentral.